Pelobates cultripes (western spadefoot toad) is the source of this 231-nucleotide non-coding RNA. The record is from the annotation of a GenBank genome assembly. NCBI's taxonomy places the organism in Eukaryota, Metazoa, Chordata, Amphibia, Anura, Pelobatidae.
AGACACACAGAGGUAAAACAUCCCCACAAUGCAUCCUAACUUCCCUCCCUCUGUCCUGGAGACUAUUGGGAAGUAAUCCAAUCAUCUCCCAGGACAGAGGCAAAACUCCAUUAACCACAUGGCAGUAAAAGACAGUGAAAGACAUAAAAAUGUAUAAAGUUACAACUGUUGCACAAAACAUAUACAUUCUACCUAUCCCCAGAUAGCUUAGAUCUGAGCGAACAGAAGUAC